AUUGAACGCUGGCGGCAUGCUUUACACAUGCAAGUCGAACGGUAACAGGCCUUCGGGUUCUGACGAGUGGCGAACGGGUGAGUAAUUCAUCGGAACGUGCCCAGAGGCGGGGGAUAACGCAGCGAAAGCUGUGCCAAUACCGCAUGUGAUCUGAGGAUGAAAGCGGGGGACCAAGCACCAAUGUUUGGCCUCGCGCCUCUGGAGCGGCCGAUGUCAGAUUAGGUAGUUGGUGGGGUAAAGGCCUACCAAGCCGACGAUCUGUAGCUGGUCUGAGAGGACGACCAGCCACACUGGGACUGAGACACGGCCCAGACUCCGACGGGAGGCAGCAGUGGGGAAUUUUGGACAAUGGGCGCAAGCCUGAUCCAGCAAUGCCGCGUGCGGGAAGAAGGCCUUCGGGUUGUAAACCGCUUUUGUACGGAACGAAAAGGCUCUGGCUAAUACCUGGGGCUGAUGACGGUACCGUAAGAAUAAACACCGGCUAACUACGUG
RNAcentral lists this ribosomal RNA (492 nucleotides) under uncultured bacterium. RNAcentral describes it as "partial 16S ribosomal RNA". It matches the Rfam family "Bacterial small subunit ribosomal RNA", at positions 30 to 507 of the family's 1533-position model. The record is from RNAcentral.